Molecule: long non-coding RNA, 1015 nt
Organism: Arvicola amphibius (Eurasian water vole)
Lineage: Eukaryota; Metazoa; Chordata; Mammalia; Rodentia; Cricetidae
Exons: 4
Source: RefSeq, a predicted model, not a curated record
CUCAAAAACCAAGUCCGAGAGUUAUUUCCGGUGUGUCCACGCUGGCAGAGUCGAGAAGGGUGAACUGUGGAGACGAAACGCAUAAAGGCGAGGCAGUGAACUCGCAGCAAAAGUCUGGGUUCACUGAGUGAUGGGCAGUGGCACGAGAGACUCAUUUCCUCACCAAGGAAAAGCUGAGCUCACGGGUGACCGGAAGCCCCAGCAUUCAGAACCAGGUGGGAAAUCUUUGGAGCAUUUCUGAACCAGAUGAGUAAGGACAGUUGCUGUUCUCCGCCCUCAUUCCAGGUGUUCAAGACUUAAUUCUGAGAUCAAGAGUUGCAGAACUGGAUGGAUGAGAACAAAGUAUGACACACAGGUCUAGAUGGAGAAAUCUUAACUACUCCCCAGCACUGUCUGCCCAUGUGCCACCAUGCUCCCCACCAUGGUAACAAUGGACAAAACCUCUGAAACUCACAGAGGAUGCCAGGUGGAUGAGACCUGGGACGGCGCAUUUCUCAGAAGCAGGACUGUGAGCACUGUUCAUGGCUGGAACCUAGUGCAGUCUGGGAUUAGCUAGGUAGGUUUUUAAUUUUUUUAUUGCUUUUGCUCAUCUGAGUAAUCAUAUCAUAAUCCUAGUGAGUGGAGUCAAGGAGUAGAUUCAGAGAUCCCACCUUGACACCUGAAACUAGUGCUUUUUCUCAACCCUGCAUAUUUACGAUAAAUUAGUAAGUUGGAAAAAAGUACAUACUAAUAAAUUUGCAAAAUCUAUUAGUAAAAUGUUUGGUGCUGUUUAACUCACUGACAAGCUGGCUGUGGAGGCUGGGUUGUCCCUGUCCAAUUUCAAACCAAAGCAUGUUUAUGUCAGUGUGUCCUCAAAAGACCCCUUGUCUACCGAGCCCUAUGAGAAACAUAAAGGAGAACAGAAAACAGUCCUCGGGAAUAGGAGAGCAGCUUGUGUGAAUAAAAACCGCAUGUCCUUGAACACAGCUGGGAGGUAAAUCAUUUCCAGGCACCUUUCCAAAGCAACUCUGCUACU